GGGCGCGUAGCUCAGCGGUAGAGCAUUCGCUUCACACGCGAAGGGUCACAGGUUCAAUCCCUGUCGCGCCCACCA
This 75-nucleotide transfer RNA is filed under the name Azospirillum lipoferum. RNAcentral describes it as "tRNA_Val_CAC". It matches the Rfam family "tRNA". From Rfam's summary of the family: Transfer RNA (tRNA) molecules are approximately 80 nucleotides in length. Their secondary structure includes four short double-helical elements and three loops (D, anti-codon, and T loops). Further hydrogen bonds mediate the characteristic L-shaped molecular structure. tRNAs have two regions of fundamental functional importance: the anti-codon, which is responsible for specific mRNA codon recognition, and the 3' end, to which the tRNAs corresponding amino acid is attached (by aminoacyl-tRNA synthetases). tRNAs cope with the degeneracy of the genetic code in two manners: having more than one tRNA (with a specific anti-codon) for a particular amino acid; and 'wobble' base-pairing, i.e. permitting non-standard base-pairing at the 3rd anti-codon position. Lineage: Bacteria; Pseudomonadati; Pseudomonadota; Alphaproteobacteria; Rhodospirillales; Azospirillaceae. The record is from RNAcentral. RNAcentral also lists the same sequence under 50 other names.